Molecule: unclassified non-coding RNA, 243 nt
Filed under: Lobulomyces angularis
Lineage: Eukaryota; Fungi; Chytridiomycota; Chytridiomycetes; Lobulomycetales; Lobulomycetaceae
Description: partial contains 5.8S ribosomal RNA, internal transcribed spacer 2, and large subunit ribosomal RNA
Source: RNAcentral
CGCACAUUGCGCUCUUUGGUAUUCCGAAGAGCACAUCUGUUCGAGCGUCAUUACACCAAUCAAACUCAUGUUUGGAAUUGAAUGUGAUCAUGAAAAUUGAUACAUUCCAAAGUCAUUAGCAGUACCUUUCGGUCUCAAACGUCGUUAUAUUUUAAUCGUUUGUCAGGCUUCGAAAGGUCCUUGCUUUGUCCUAAACCUUUUCAGUUUGACCUCGAAUCAGAUGGGGAUACCCGCUGAACUUAA